RNAcentral lists this ribosomal RNA (428 nucleotides) under Vigna reflexopilosa var. glabra. RNAcentral's name for it is "eukaryotic LSU rRNA". The stretch from base 277 to 428 matches the Rfam family "Eukaryotic large subunit ribosomal RNA", at positions 1 to 154 of the family's 3401-position model. The record is from RNAcentral. Lineage: Eukaryota; Viridiplantae; Streptophyta; Magnoliopsida; Fabales; Fabaceae.
ACUCGAGUCUUUGACGCAAGUUGCGCCCGAAGCCACUAGGCCGAGGGCACGCCUGCCUGGGUGUCACACAUCGUCAUCCCCAUGCAAACGCGCAUCGGGGCUAAAGCUGGCCUCCCGCGAGACAACCAUCGUGGUUGGUCGAAAAACAAGGCAACGUCGGGGUCCCCCCGCGAGAAACGGUGGAUGAGCAAACGCUCGAGACCAAUCGCGGAGACUCGGCAAUCCAAUCGAUCGGCCCUAUUGCGUUCUUGGCAGAAAGCAAAGACGCUCUUAACGAGACCUCAGGUCAGGCGGGGCUACCCGCUGAGUUUAAGCAUAUCAAUAAGCGGAGGAAAAGAAACUAACAAGGAUUCCCUUAGUAACGGCGAGCGAACCGGGAACAGCCCACCAUGAGAAUCGGUCGCCCCUGGCGUUCGAAUUGUAGUUAA